AUUCUCACUUCAUUUAUUACCUCAAUAAACAUUUUCAUAAAGAGUUUAUGGCCUCUAUAAGGUUAGAAAUGUUCUUCC
Molecule: long non-coding RNA, 78 nt
Organism: Etheostoma spectabile (orangethroat darter)
Lineage: Eukaryota; Metazoa; Chordata; Actinopteri; Perciformes; Percidae
Exons: 3
Source: RefSeq, a predicted model, not a curated record